GACGAACGCUGGCGGCGUGCUUAACACAUGCAAGUGGAGCGACGAACCAGGCUUCGGCCUGGGGCAGAGCCGCGAACGGGUGAGUAACACGUGGGUAACCUGCCCUGAUGACCGGGACAACCCGAGGAAACUCGGGCUAAUACCGGAUGUGCUCCUUCCACAUCAGUGGAUUGAGUAAAGGUAGCUUCGGCCUCCGCAUCAGGAUGGGCCCCGCGGCGCAUUAGCUUGUUGGGGGGUAACGGCCUACCAAGGCGACGAUGCGUAGCUGGUCUGAGAGGACGAUCAGCCACACUGGGACUGAGACACGGCCCAGACUCCUACGGGAGGCAGCAGUGGGGAAUCUUGCGCAAUGCACGAAAGUGUGACGCAGCAACGCCGCGUGGGGGAAGAAGGCC
This 395-nucleotide ribosomal RNA is filed under the name uncultured bacterium. Its description in RNAcentral is "bacterial SSU rRNA". It matches the Rfam family "Bacterial small subunit ribosomal RNA", at positions 28 to 416 of the family's 1533-position model. The record is from RNAcentral.